AUGUUCUGGUCUCCCCCAAAUGCUCAGGAGUGCCCUGCAGACCCCCUGCCUACUCUCGGCUUGACCCAGACCCCUGCCGCGGAGUGUGCCCUUCGGCUUCUCUUCCUCUGGAGGCCCCAGUUCUGGCACCUGAAGUCCAGCUUCACAGCCGGCUGGGAGCUAAGCCCUGGUGCCAUCUCCGUAGGAGGGGAGGAGUCUUGUGCUGCGUUCAAUGCGAACGCCGCAGUCUCUAAGGAGACAGGUAAAUCUCCGGAUGCUGCGAUCAGAUUGCUGAGGGAGAUCCGCUUCCGAUGCCUGCCUCCUGGCUCCUCCGAGGGCCAAUUCAAGGACCUGGCUCUGAGACCUGCAUGGAUUAUUUCCGCUGAGAUGUUUUCCUCUGGCUUUGCAUCCUGCUUGGAACCUGCAACACUUCGGCCACCUGAUGUGAAAAACUGACUCACUGGAAAAGAACCUGAUGCUGGGAAAGAUUGAAGGCAGGAGGAGAACAGGGCGACAGAGGAUGAGAUGGUUGGAUGGCAUCACUGACUCAAUGGACAUGAGUUGGAGUAAACUCCGGGAGUUGGUGAUGGACAGGGAGGCCUGGCGUGCUGCGAUUCAUGGUGUUGCAAAGAGUCGGACACGAUUGAGUGACUGAACUGAACUGGAACCUUCCUGCGGCUUUCUUCUCAAGUACACGCUAUGGUUUUGUGAGCUCAUAUAUUUUUUUUUUCCCAAGGCUGGAGACUGUGCUCCAUAACCCAUUAGCCACGUCAAGUCUAGACCUAACCAAGAGCCCAAAAACUGUGGGUUUUUUUUUUUUUUUAUGUUUUGGUAUUUACUGAAUCUGGCAGCCCAUUAGAUUGUCUAGUACAAGUCUUUAGACUGAAAACUAAAAUCAACAGAGACAGAGACUUAAGCAGCAUGUUGAGAAGAAAGACACUACUUCUACAACUUGAUCAGCCACUUAGGAACUGCCAUUUCUGAAAGAUUAGAAAACAUCCCAAUUUGUGGCUGAUCACUAGUAUUUACGAGGGUUCACUGUAUGCAAAGUCUUUUGCACUCAGCUCUCAUUAAGUACUAUAGUCCCACAUUAUGGAUGAGUAAACUAAGGCCAAGAAAGGUUUAGUAACUUGGAUAACAUCACUACAAUUAACUAGGAGAGACAGGACUAGAACGUGUUUCACUGCCCCCUAAAAGCCCAAGUUCACAGCUUCUGAUAAUAAUAACCAACUUCCAUUGAGCACCUACUGUGUGCCAGUUACUGCUAUGUGUGCUUUAUGUGUAUUAUCUCAAUAACCCCCCUCAGUGACCUUGUGAGGCAGGUACUACUGUGAAACCCAUUUCGUAGAUGAGGAAUGUGAUGGAUGGAGACUAAGUGAAGAGUUGGAGUCAUGAGCCACCCACCUAAAUUGUCCCUCUGGAUCAGUGGAGGCUAUUGGUCUCCCUUCUAAUCAACUUUACCAUAAAGACUUGUGUAAAAGUCAAAAUAAAAUAGAAAAAUCAACAGCA
RNAcentral lists this long non-coding RNA (1488 nucleotides) under Bos indicus x Bos taurus (hybrid cattle). RNAcentral's name for it is "lncRNA (ENSBIXG00005014438.1)". Lineage: Eukaryota; Metazoa; Chordata; Mammalia; Artiodactyla; Bovidae. The record is from RNAcentral.